This 525-nucleotide long non-coding RNA is filed under the name Salmo salar (Atlantic salmon). RNAcentral's name for it is "lncRNA (ENSSSAG00000099412.1)". The record is from RNAcentral. Lineage: Eukaryota; Metazoa; Chordata; Actinopteri; Salmoniformes; Salmonidae.
CUAAAGUUGUAACUGCUGCUGGUUGACCUUGUUUCUCUUUUUAUCUGGGUUUGUCUCUUUCUCUCCCCCGCUCUCUCUUCUCUCUCUCUCUCUCUCCUCUCUCCUCUCUCUCUCUCCUCUCUCUCCUUCAACCUCUCUCCUCUCUCUCCUCUCUCCUCUCUCUUUCUCGUCUCUCUCUCUCUCUCUCUCUCUCUCGUCUCUCUCUCUCUCUCCUCUCUCUCCUUCAACCUCUCUCAGGGAGAAAAACACAGAAACAGAGGCUGCAUCCCAAAUGCCUAUACACACACACAGCCCUACGUGGGACCCUCUUUCUCUGUGGGGUCCUGUGAUAUUUCAGACUCUGACGAGGAGAAAAGAGGGAGUUGAGAGAGACCAGUCCUAUCUACAGCAGCAAGAUGUGUGACCUGUUGCCACAACACACGGACAACCAGUGAAGAAGACACACCAUUAAGACAGCCAUUACAGAACUACCCACCACCAAAGGACCAAGCAGCGGAGAAGAGGACAGAGGCAAGUGAGGGAGGA